UUUCCGUAGGUGAACCUGCGGAAGGAUCAUUAAAGAGAAUAUGCCCUUCGGGGUAGAUCUCCCACCCUUUGUUUAUAUUACCUUUGUUGCUUUGGCAGGCCCGUCUUCGGACCACCGGCUACGGCUGGUCAGUGCUUGCCAAAGGACCCAAAACUCUUAUUAUUAAUGUCGUCUGAGUACUAUAUAAUAGUUAAAACUUUCAACAACGGAUCUCUUGGUUCUG
Molecule: unclassified non-coding RNA, 223 nt
Filed under: plant metagenome
Description: partial contains small subunit ribosomal RNA, internal transcribed spacer 1, and 5.8S ribosomal RNA
Source: RNAcentral